UACACUUGACAUGCUGAGAACUUUCCAGAGAUGGAUUGGUGCCUUCGGGAACUCAGACAC
This 60-nucleotide ribosomal RNA is filed under the name uncultured bacterium. RNAcentral describes it as "partial 16S ribosomal RNA". The record is from RNAcentral.